AUUGAACGCUGGCGGCAGGCCUAACACAUGCAAGUCGAGCGGAUGAAGGGAGCUUGCUCCUGGAUUCAGCGGCGGACGGGUGAGUAAUGCCUAGGAAUCUGCCUGGUAGUGGGGGAUAACGUCUGGAAACGGGCGCUAAUACCGCCUACGUCCUGAGGGAGAAAGUGGGGGAUCUUCGGACCUCACGCUAUCAGAUGAGCCUAGGUCGGAUUAGCUAGUUGGUGGGGUUAAGGCCUACUUAGGAGACGAUCCGUAACUGGACUGUGAGGAUGGUCAGUCACACUAGAACGGAGACACGGUCCAGGCUCCUACGGGAGGCAGCAGUGGGGAAUAUUGGACAAUAGGCGAAAAUCUGAUCCAGCCAUGCCGCGUGUGUUAAGAAGGUCUUGGGAGUGUAAAGCACGUUAAGUUGUGAGGAAGGGCAGUAAGUUAAUACCUUGCUGUUGUGACGUUACCAACAGAAGAAGCACCGGCUAACUUCGUG
RNAcentral lists this ribosomal RNA (484 nucleotides) under uncultured bacterium. RNAcentral describes it as "partial 16S ribosomal RNA". It matches the Rfam family "Bacterial small subunit ribosomal RNA", at positions 30 to 507 of the family's 1533-position model. The record is from RNAcentral.